This 433-nucleotide ribosomal RNA is filed under the name uncultured bacterium. RNAcentral's name for it is "partial 16S ribosomal RNA". It matches the Rfam family "Bacterial small subunit ribosomal RNA", at positions 29 to 507 of the family's 1533-position model. The record is from RNAcentral.
AACGAACGCUGGCGGCAGGCCUAACACAUGCAAGUCGAGCGAGGACUUCGGUCCUAGCGGCGGACGGGUGAGUAACGCGUGGGAACGUGCCCUUUGCUUCGGAAUAGCCCGGGGAAACUGGGAGUAAUACCGGAUGAGCCCUUUGGGGGGAAGAUUUGUCGGCGAAGGAUCUGCCCGCGUUGGCUUAGGUGGUUGGUGGGGUAAUCGCCUCCCAAGCCUACGAUCCAUAGCUGGUUUGAGAGGAUGAUCAGCCACACUGGGACUGAGACACGGCCCAGACUCCUACGGGAGGCAGCAGUGGGGAAUCUUAGAAAAUGGGGGGAACCCUGAACUACCCCUGCCGCGUGAGCAAUGAAGGCCUUAGGGUUGUAAAGCUCUUUAAGCUGGGACGAUAAUGACGGUACCAACAGAAGAAGCCCCGGCUAACUCCGUG